RNAcentral lists this ribosomal RNA (496 nucleotides) under uncultured bacterium. Its description in RNAcentral is "partial 16S ribosomal RNA". It matches the Rfam family "Bacterial small subunit ribosomal RNA", at positions 28 to 506 of the family's 1533-position model. The record is from RNAcentral.
GAUGAACGCUGGCGGCGUGCCUAAUACAUGCAAGUCGAGCGAACGGACGAGAAGCUUGCUUCUCUGAUGUUAGCGGCGGACGGGUGAGUAACACGUGGAUAACCUACCUAUAAGACUGGGAUAACUUCGGGAAACCGGAGCUAAUACCGGAUGAUAUUUUGAACCGCAUGGUUCAAAAGUGAAAGACGGUCUUGCUGUCACUUAUAGAUGGAUCCGCGCUGCAUUAGCUAGUUGGUAAGGUAACGGCUUACCAAGGCAACGAUGCAUAGCCGACCUGAGGGGGUGAUCGGCCACACUGGAACUGAGACACGGUCCAGACUCCUACGGGAGGCAGCAGUAGGGAAUCUUCCGCAAUGGGCGAAAGCCUGACGGAGCAACGCCGCGUGAGUGAUGAAGGUCUUCGGAUCGUAAAACUCUGUUAUUAGGGAAGAACAUAUGUGUAAGUAACUGUGCACAUCUUGACGGUACCUAAUCAGAAAGCCACGGCUAACUACGU